Molecule: non-coding RNA, 74 nt
Organism: Podarcis lilfordi (Lilford's wall lizard)
Lineage: Eukaryota; Metazoa; Chordata; Lepidosauria; Squamata; Lacertidae
Source: the annotation of a GenBank genome assembly
GGAGGGCUGUAGCUCAGCGACAAAGCAUCUGCUUUGCAUGCAGAAAGUCCUGAGUUCAAACCCUGGCAUCUCCA